Molecule: ribosomal RNA, 253 nt
Filed under: uncultured bacterium
Lineage: Bacteria
Description: partial 16S ribosomal RNA
Rfam family: Bacterial small subunit ribosomal RNA
Source: RNAcentral
GACGUAGGGCGCGAGCGUUGUCCGGAAUUAUUGGGCGUAAAGGGCUCGUAGGCGGUUUGUCGCGUCGGGAGUGAAAUCAUCUGGCUUAACUGGGUGCUUGCUUUCGAUACGGGCAGACUAGAGGUAUGCAGGGGAGAACGGAAUUCCUGGUGUAGCGGUGAAAUGCGCAGAUAUCAGGAGGAACACCGGUGGCGAAGGCGGUUCUCUGGGCAUGAUCUGACGCUGAGGAGCGAAAGUGUGGGGAGCGAACAGG